This 406-nucleotide unclassified non-coding RNA is filed under the name soil metagenome. RNAcentral describes it as "partial contains 5.8S ribosomal RNA, internal transcribed spacer 2, and large subunit ribosomal RNA". The stretch from base 1 to 121 matches the Rfam family "5.8S ribosomal RNA", at positions 35 to 154 of the family's 154-position model. The record is from RNAcentral.
GAUGAAGAACGUAGCGAAAUGCGAUAAGUAAUGUGAAUUGCAGAAUUCAGUGAAUCAUCGAAUCUUUGAACGCACCUUGCGCCCUUUGGCCAUUCCGAAGGGCAUGCCUGUUUGAGUAUCAUGAACACCUCAACUCUUCAUGGUUUUCCGUGAUGAGCUUGGACUUUGGGGGUCUUGCUGGCCUAUGGUCAGCUCCUCUAAAAUAAAUCAGGUUGCCAGUGUUUGGUGGGUAUCACAGGUGUGAUAACUAUCUACGCUUGUGGUUUUCCACCAGGUAACCUUCAGCAGUGGAGGUUCGCUGGAGCUCACAGAUGUGUCUCUCCUCAGUGAGGACAGCUCUUUGAAUGUUUGAUCUCAAAUCAGGUAGGACUACCCGCUGAACUUAAGCAUAUCAAUAAGCGGAGGA